This 484-nucleotide ribosomal RNA is filed under the name uncultured bacterium. RNAcentral's name for it is "partial 16S ribosomal RNA". It matches the Rfam family "Bacterial small subunit ribosomal RNA", at positions 30 to 507 of the family's 1533-position model. The record is from RNAcentral.
AUUGAACGCUGGCGGCAGGCCUAACACAUGCAAGUCGAGCGGAUGAAGGGAGCUUGCUCCUGGAUUCAGCGGCGGACGGGUGAGUAAUGCCUAUGAAUCUGCCUGGUAGUGGGGGAUAACGUCCGGAAACGGGCGCUAAUACCGCAUACGUCCUGAGGGAGAAAGUGGGGGAUCUUCGGACCUCACGCUAUCAGAUGAGCCUAGGUCGGAUUAGCUAGUUGGUGGGGUAAAGGCCUACCAAGGCGACGAUCCGUAACUGGUCUGAGAGGAUGAUCAGUCACACUGGAACUGAGACACGGUCCAGACUCCUACGGGAGGCAGCAGUGGGGAAUAUUGGGCAAUGGGCGAAAGCCUGAUCCAGCGAUGCCGCGUGUGUGAAGAAGGUCUUCGGAUUGUAAAGCACUUUAAGUUGGGAGGAAGGGCAGUAAGUUAAUACCUUGCUGUUUUGACGUUACCAACAGAAUAAGCACCGGCUAACUUCGUG